GAUAUCAGAAAAAUGUCAGCUGAUAAAAUGUUUGUUAUUAAAUUUUGCAUAUUUUGUUAGUGAACCACAUUUU
Molecule: non-coding RNA, 73 nt
Organism: Caenorhabditis elegans
Lineage: Eukaryota; Metazoa; Nematoda; Chromadorea; Rhabditida; Rhabditidae
Source: Ensembl